Molecule: ribosomal RNA, 301 nt
Filed under: uncultured bacterium
Lineage: Bacteria
Description: partial 16S ribosomal RNA
Rfam family: Bacterial small subunit ribosomal RNA
Source: RNAcentral
CAGCCGCGGGAAUACGAAGGGGGCUAGCGUUGCUCGGAAUCACUGGGCGUAAAGGGUGCGUAGGCGGGUCUUUAAGUCAGGGGUGAAAUCCUGGAGCUCAACUCCAGAACUGCCUUUGAUACUGAAGAUCUUGAGUUCGGGAGAGGUGAGUGGAACUGCGAGUGUAGAGGUGAAAUUCGUAGAUAUUCGCAAGAACACCAGUGGCGAAGGUGGCUCACUGGCCCGAUACUGACGCUGAGGCACGAAAGCGUGGGGAGCAAACAGGAUUAGAUACCCCCGUAGUCCCUGUCUCUUAUACACA